CUUUACUUUUAUUUAAUUUUUUUUUAUUUUAAUAUAAUUAAAUAAAAAUAAAAAACUAAAAAUAUAUCAGUUAUUUGAGGAUCAGGAACUGUCGGGGAUCGCCUGGUAUUAUUUGGGGAGAAGACGGGGAUUUCCUCAAAUAAUUUUGACGGAAAUAGGGUAGAGAUGGGGACAUAUGCAGAAUGUCAAGGAUAAAUACGAGGAUGUCGGUCUCCUACCCUCUCCUCCCAUUGCCAUCCCUAGGGCAAUCUCAAAUAAUUUUAUUUUUAUAAUCUUGAUCAUUGGUCAUCCAAGUAACGUAUCCCUAUUAUAGGAUUUUAAACUACGAGAUUGUUUGUUAAAUGUCUGAAGUCUGAAAUUUUAUUAAUUUCAAACAUUUUCUAAAAUAUGCUUAGCGGCUGAAUCAAUGAACACCUUUCUAAACCUGCGCAUACUGCUUAAGUUAAGCCUACGGUCAAAUUCAUUCAAUAGCUAUCCUUGCCACCCUCGCUGGUGCCACACUCCCAUGCGCUGUGUUCCUAUAGUAAAUUUCAUUCUGCGCCAAUCUCCACUGCAACCCAGCCACAGUCGGCCAGCCGCACCUUCUUCAGUUAUUGGAUUGAGUUUGGGAUUAGGUUUGGGUUUUAAUUUUUUUUUAAUUAGUUUCGUUUUAAUUUUGGUUAUUUUGUUUCAUUUUAUUGUAUUUUUUAUUAUUUUGUUUUAUUUAUUAUUUAAUAUCUAAAUCACGAAGAAAAACUAAAGUCAUCUAUUUUUUUUUUUGUUAUUUAGUUAACGUGAAAUAGUAAUUUUGCAAUAAAGGGUAGUGGUCAUUUUAAUAAUAUUCUAUUAAAUUCUCUCGUGAAAUUGAGAUGCUAGUGGAAUAAUGAUAUAUUUUGUAAACUUUAUGUAGAAUUCUGCAAAAAAGAAAAAAAAAAGAUAUGUGUAUUUUAAAAAAUAAUGAAAAAAUAGAUGGUGGGUGGAUAAUUGCCCCUUUUUUUAGUAUAUUAUAUUGAUAUUUUUUUCUUGUUAGUUAUGUAAGCCAACCAAGAGUUGUUAAAUCAUUUGAAUUAAAAUUAAUUUAUUAAAUAAAAUUCAAAAAUUUAUUAUCAAAAUAGUAAUUAUGAAUAGAAAGAGAUAG
RNAcentral lists this long non-coding RNA (1117 nucleotides) under Citrus x clementina. RNAcentral's name for it is "Citrus clementina (C. clementina) long non-coding RNA (CCLE_LNC002569)". Lineage: Eukaryota; Viridiplantae; Streptophyta; Magnoliopsida; Sapindales; Rutaceae. The record is from RNAcentral.